GAAAGCCUGUGCCAGUGGGAUGGAGGAUCUGUGCUAGCAGGCUGAGGGAUCUGCACUGGAGCCAGGAAGCGAUGCUCAAAAGUGAUCUGUGCUGUCUGGGCCUGCCUUGCAGUUGAACCUGGAUUUGAAACUGACAACUAUGAACGAAUAGGAAAAUGUUGCAGCAGGAGCUGCCACGUCUGAAGAAAAUUCAAAGAAAGGUCUAUUCGGGCAGUGGUGGCUUUUCAUGGAUUUACUGAACCAACGAAGGACCCACUUCCAAGAGGGCUGUUAUGCUUUCCAUGGAUUUAUAAGAAAUGCCUGCCUGUGUGACUGUGCCAAAGUAAACUUGGGAUUUCUCGCUACCGGAAACAUUCCGGAGGAUGAGGCUCUGCAAGUCCGGAAGUAAGGAGAAAAGAUGGAGCAGACAAUGCUCACUGCUGGCCAUUAGAUGAAAGACAAAUGGUGAUACAUAAGUGCAAGACAAAGAAAUGAGAAGGUUGAAUUGAAUCAGGCAAGUACAAUUAUGAAUUUAUGGAUUUCUAAGAUGUAACAUAUAUAUAUAUGUGUGUGUGCAGG
This 558-nucleotide long non-coding RNA is filed under the name Chinchilla lanigera (long-tailed chinchilla). RNAcentral's name for it is "lncRNA (ENSCLAG00000024574.1)". The record is from RNAcentral. Lineage: Eukaryota; Metazoa; Chordata; Mammalia; Rodentia; Chinchillidae.